RNAcentral lists this ribosomal RNA (460 nucleotides) under uncultured bacterium. Its description in RNAcentral is "partial 16S ribosomal RNA". It matches the Rfam family "Bacterial small subunit ribosomal RNA", at positions 338 to 795 of the family's 1533-position model. The record is from RNAcentral.
CCUACGGGUGGCUGCAGUGAGGAAUAUUGGUCAAUGGGCGCGAGCCUGAACCAGCCACGCAGCGUGAAGGAUGACUGCUCUACGGGUGUAAAACUUCUUUUAUAAAGGAAUAAAGUGAGGCACUUGUGCCUUUUUGAAUGUACUUUAUGAAUAAGGAUGGGCGAACUCCGUGCCAGCAGCCGCGGUAAUACGGAGGAUCCGAGCGUUAUCCGGAUUUAUUGGGUUUAAAGGGAGCGUAGAUGGGUUGUUAAGUCAGUUGUGAAAGUUUGCGGCUCAACCGUAAAAUUGCAAUUGAUACUGGAAGUCUUGAGUACAGUUGAGGUAGGCGGAAUUCGUGGUGUAGCGGUGAAAUGCGUAGAUAUCACGAAGAACUCCGAUUGCGAAGGCAGCUUACUAAACUGCCACUGACAUUGAUGCGCGAAAGUGUGGGGAUCAAACAGGAUUAGAUACCCCGGUAGUC